Non-coding RNA from Prunus mume (Japanese apricot), 2289 nucleotides. Lineage: Eukaryota; Viridiplantae; Streptophyta; Magnoliopsida; Rosales; Rosaceae. The record is from RefSeq and is a predicted model, not a curated record.
AUGCUAGUGCAAGUUGAUCACCUAAUGCCUCAUGGCUUCCUUUUCAUCUUCCUAUUCUCUUCCAUUAUAUCUACCAAUAUUAUUCAUGCAUGCAACCAAACCGAAAGCAGCUCUCUCCUGUCGUUCAUCCUCAGUCUGUCUUCUCCUCCUUUAAAUUGGACUUCCCUUGAUUGUUGCCAUUGGGAGGGCAUUAGUUGUAAUCACGAUGGUUGGGUCACCGAUGUGGACUUACCCUCCAAAGGACUCAAAGGAGGUAACUUUCCCUUGUCACUUGGAAAUCUCACACAUCUCAGGUACCUGAAUCUAUCCCACAACUCACUUUACGGUUCACUAGACCAAUCCGCAUUCUUCUUGUCCUUGAAUAAUCUUGAGAUCCUUGAUUUGAGCUAUAACCUUCUUUCCGGAGAGCUACCAGAUUCUCUACCAUCCAGAAAUAUGAUCCGGAUGGUUGAUUUGUCCAGCAAUCACUUCUAUGGUGUAAUUCCAUCUUCGUUUUUCCAGGAAGCUAGGAAUUUGACUAGUUUCAGCGUCAGCAACAACACCUUCUCAGGUUUUAUCCCAUCCACCAUUUGUCUUCAUUCUUCUCCCUUGAUUAAGCUAUUGGAUUUUUCACUCAAUAAAUUCAGUGGCAAUAUAUCUCCUGGACUAGGGCAGUGUCUCCAACUGCAGGUUUUUCAUGCUGGUUACAAUAACCUCUCAGGAUUACUUCCAGAAGAUAUAUAUAAUGCUACCACACUUGAACAAAUUGCAUUACCUGCUAAUUCACUUUAUGGAGCCAUUAGUGAUAGAAUUGUGAACCUCACCAUUCUCACUAUCCUUGAUCUCAACUCUAACGGUUUUAGUGGCAUGCUUCCUGCUAAUAUUGGGAAGCUCUCCAAUUUGAAACUCAUGCUCCUUUAUGCCAACAAACUAGAAGGUUUGCUGCCGUCAUCAUUGAUGAAUUGUACAAAACUUAUAGAGUUGAGUCUGCGAUUCAACAACUUUGAAGGAGACAUCUCUGCUAUUAAUUUCUCCAGGUUUAGUCAACUUAGUAAACUUGAUCUAAUGAAUAACAACUUCACUGGUAUGUUGCCAACAAGCCUUUACUCAUGCAAGUCACUUAAAGCAAUUCGACUGAGCAUUAACCAUCUCAAGGGACAAAUACAACCUGAGAUCCUUUCACUAAAAUAUCUGUCCUUCCUCUCGCUUGGUUUUAACUCACUGACCAAUGUAACAGGGGCAAUGAAAAUACUGAUGCGAUGCGAAAGUCUCGUAUUCCUGUCAUUGACAUCUAGUUUUGUAGGUGAGGAUUUGCCCUCUGACGAGGGCAUAGUUGAAUUUGAUGGAUUCCAAAAGCUUCGACUUUUGGAUUUAAGUCAUUGUGAGUUCUCUGGACAAAUACCGGUAUGGUUAUCUAAACUAAAGAAGCUAGAGUUCUUGAAUCUGUUUCAUAACAGAAUCACAGGGUCAAUUCCUAGUUGGUUGGGAACUCUUCCAAGGCUCUCGUAUUUAGACUUGUCAUUCAACCAAAUUUCAGGUGAAUUUCCAAAGGAACUUUGCAGACUUCCAAUGUUGGCAUCGGGACAAACUGCAGCUCAACUAGAUCGGGGAUAUCUUGAAUUGCCUAUGUUCGCCUCAAUACCCCUGAUUCUAGCCAAAGAUACAAAUUACAACUUUUUGUCUUAUGCACAUGCUUUACAGUACAACUAUUUGUCUCACCUUGCACCGUCCAUAUUCCUAUACAACAAUAGCAUCAGUGGCAGCAUACCUACCGAGAUAGGCCGAUUGCAGCUUCUCCAUGUGUUGUAUCUUGGUGUCAACAACUUCUCUGGCAGCAUUCCGGACCAAAUAUCCAACCUAAAAAACUUGGAGAUAUUGGACGUCUCCGUGAAUCAUUUGUCUGGAAAACUCCCAGCGUCAUUGGCAAGCCUCAAUUUCUUGAAAUCUUUUAAUGUCUCAUACAAUAAUCUGGAAGGACCAAUACCAAGAAGCACUCAGCUCCAGAGCUUCAACGCCUCUGUAUUUGAGGGAAAUCCUAAACUUUGUGGUGCCCCACUUCCAAAUGAGUGCAGAUCAAUCAACGCCGUUGGCGGAGAUGAUAAGAACCAUCAAGAUAAGGAUCAGAAUGGGCAUCAAAUUCCAUGGUUUUAUAUUUCUGUGUUGCUUGGGUUCAUUAUAGGAUUCUGGGGAGUGUUUGGUCCUUUAAUGGUUAAGAAGACGUGAUAUGCAUGUUUUCAAGCCCUAGGCAAAGUGCAAGACAGGCUCAUCAUCGUGUGGAUGACCAGGAUGCAGAGAAGACUUAGAAGCUAA